CCCCCGCGCCGGGAGCUGGGCUACCGAGCGGGGCUGGGCGGGCCAGAGAAGCCGCUCCCCCGCCAGCCCACCCGCCGCGCGGCGCUCUCGCUGCUGCACCGCCUGCCGCCCACGGCGCCCGGCGUGGGGCCCCUGCUGCUGCAGCUGGGGCCCGAGCCUCCCGCCCCACACCCCGGGGUCAGCAAGGCCUGGAGGUCUGGAGGCGCGGAGGAGCCUGAGCGGCUACCCCUCCACGUGCGCUUCCUCGAGAACUGUCAGCCGCGCGCCAGGCGGCGGCGGUCUCAGGGGGCCCUCGGCGGAGGAUGGGCCAGGGUCCCGCCGCUCAGCCCCGCGCCGCUCCGUGCCCGCCUGUCCCACGUCCCCGCGGGGCGCGAGGAGAAUGGGCUCCCUCUGCUCGUGCUGCCGCCGCCGGCCCGUCGGUGGACGCGGGACGACGGUGACUUCCUCUUUGCGGAGCCGCUUCCCCCCACCCCUCAAAUUUUCCAACAGCUUCGAGAAGCCGGAGUCGCCCCCUCACGCCGGGCCCCCAGCCGCUCCCGGACCCCCUGCUCCAGUCACCCCCCUGCCCCCCGUGCCCCCCCGGCGGCAGCCCGCCCCUGGCCCGCCACGCCCCUGGACUCCACUGCAUCCAGCCUGACGUCCUAUGACAGCGAGGUGGCCACGCUCACUCAGGGGCCCCCGCGGGCUCCCGGGGACCACCCCCACCCCCAGGCCCGCCGGCCCCAGCAGCCCCAGCGCCCCCCGCCCCGCAGCCGGGGCCCAGAUCCGCCACCGGGCACGGACUCCGGGAUCGAGGAGGUGGACAGUCGCAGCAGCAGUGACCACCCCUUGGAGACCAUCAGCAGCAGCGUCCACGCUGAGCAGCCUGUCUGCCGAGGGCGGGGGCGGGGUGGCCAGCGGGCCUGAGCUGCUGGACACCUACGUGCCUACUAUGGACGGCCAGGCCUUCGGGGGCAGCGGGCGCGUAUCCCCCGCAGCUCACGGCUCCCUCGAAGCUCCGAGGCCGGGCGCUGGGGGCAGCCGGAGGCCUUCGACCCGGCCCCAGUGGCGGGCUCCGAGACCCUGUCACCCCCACCAGCCCCACGGCUCUGUGACUGGGGCCGGAAACGACGGGCUGCUGGCCCUGAGCGCCUGUUCAGGGCCCUCUUCGGCAGGCGUGGCCGGGGGCCCGGUAUCAGUGGAGCCGGAAGUCCCCCGGUGCCCUUGCCUGCCGCCGCCUCCCUGCCUCGGAAGCUACUGCCCUGGGAGGAGGGCCCGGGCCCGCCACCACCACCCCUGUCUGGGCCCCUGUCCCAGCCUCAGGCCUCCGCCUUGGCCACCGUCAAAGCCAGCAUCAUCAGCGAACUCAGCUCCAAGCUCCAGCAGUUCCGGGGGCUCCUCAGCAGCUGGAGGCUCUGCCUUGGGCCCGGGGAGGCAGCGGGGGCACUGGGGACAGCCACCACGGUGGAGCCAGCUACGUCCCGAGGAGGGACCUCCUCCCUGCAGCGGCAGAGGCAGUAUAGAGUAGUGGUUAAGAGCUCAGAGUUUGGUGCCAUAUAACCGGGCUCUGCCACUUCCUGGCUGUGUGUCCUUAGGCUCUCCGACGACUCCCAGUCCUCGCUCCUCCCCAAGCCCGUGGGCAGCCUGUUUUGCAGAACUGGCCCAAGCCACCUCUGCCGCCACUCCCCACUGGAUCGGGGGUGUCGCCUCAGCCACUGCACCCCCGGGGGCCAUCUCACCUUCUGCUUCCUCCUCCUCCACCUCCUCCCGCCACCUCCAGGGCGUAGAGUUCGAGAUGCGGCCCCCCGCUCCGCAGGGCCCCAACCCCUCGCUGCUGCCCGCCUCGGAGCACAAGGUCAGCCCCAGCACCCAGGCCCCUCGAUCCCUGCCCAUCCUGCCUUCAGGCCCUCUCUGCCCAGGCCUCUUCGACAUCCGCGGCUCCCCCACCGGUGGGGCCGGGGGCUCCCGCGGACCCCUUCCGCCCCUGUCUUCGUGCCGCCGCACGGGGAUGUCCAGGGGGCCUGGGAGGAGCCUUGUCGGGGGCCUCUCCGCUCCCUGGCCGCCCACCCGCCUGCUGCCGCUGCCCCCGGACAAACCGUUUGGCGUAAACCUCUGGGCUUCUGGACCAAGUUCGAUGUGGCCGACUGGCUGGAGGUGGCUGGGCCUGGCGAGCACCGGGCCCGCUUCCUGGACCACAGAGAUCGAGCGGCUCCCACCUGCCCGCCUUGACCAAGGAGGACUAUGUGGACCUGGGGGUCACCAGGGUGGGCCACCGCAUGAACAUCGACCGGGCUCUCAAGUUUUUCCUGGAGAGGUGAUGGCUGGCCUGGACGGACCGGCCGUCCACAGAACCCUGCCGCCAGCGCCUCUCACCUCCCGUUCUCGCCGGGCAGGGACUCUGCCGGAACUGCGCCCUGCCCUGUCUCCCGAGGCCUGAGGUCACCAGGUGGCCCCAUCCGGGCCGGACACUUGCACCUCACAGGAGGGGGGCGGCUGACACAGGACUUCGAAAGUGACGUGUGGGGAGCGGCGGGGAGGGACGGAGGAAUCGCCGGGACUGAGGAGGAGGAAGGGUCGAUCCUGGGGGAGGGGACAGACAGAGCCAUAGAGGGCCAGCCCUGAGCCUGACCGGAUGGGGGCGACCCCAGGCCGCAGGGGAGGGGUGCCCUCACAUUCCACCACCUGCGCCCCUCUAGCAGCCUUCCCGCCUCCCCAGGCCCCUCCGCCCCUUUGCCCGCCCGCUCCCCAGCACACAGCUGCCCUCCCCCGCCUCUGCUCGCUCGGCUCCGUUGCACGCCUGCUCGCCCUCUCCUCCCCUCAGCUGCAGCUUUGCACAAAUCUGCCCUCACUGUCUCCGCACACUCCGCCUUCCCGCCCGCCCAGCUCGGCUUUCCUUGCACAUGUUUCUUUCCUCAUGCCUCCACUCCUCCGCACACCCCUUCUCCUGGGGCCCCUCAUGCAGUCUCCAGACCGCCCUCCGCUCACGCCGGUCCCGUGAUGCAGACACACGCGGGACCCAGCUUGCGGGAACCCCCAGCCCCCGCCGCGGCCUGGACCUGCGCAUUCCCUCCCCCAGGGACCCUGUCUUUGCUCAGCUCUCGUGCGCUCGCUGUCGUCUGCUCCCCGAGAUACGCGCACCUCCAUCCUCCUACACGGAGGUGCUUUCCCCCUCUGAUCAUGAACCCCACAUUCUCGCUCUGCUCACAGUGACCCCUGCCCUCUUGCACUGUCACUUUGGCCACUCGCCCCUGCGGAACUGCUGCUCACAGCCGCGCGGCCCAUCUCCGCCCUCUCCCACACGCACCUUCCCCAUGCGCUCCCUGACGGAUCCCGGGGCCCUCUUUCCUUUUGUAACGCACCCAGACAUUGCUGCACACUCCCGCUUUCUGCUAACUCCUCGGCGACUUCCCCACCUGCCCCGAGGCCCCACCCCUCCUGGGCACGCUCGCCCUUCCCACGUGCACUGGGGCUGCGCUGCCGUCUGCCCCGAUGCCCGCCUCUUCCACCUAGCUCCCAGCUCACCAGGCUUCUUCUCUCCUCCGCUCACCUGCCACGUCCUCCCCGGGCCAUCUUCCCACCCAUUUUGCACGAGGAGCCCCUUCUGGCCUUUCCUCCCCUCCCAGACCCCCUCCCUCCAGCAUGGCCGCUCCGUCCCGCACGCUGCCCCUACCCCUUAUUCCUGGGGCUUGGGAAUUUUAAAGCCACCUCUCCCCCCUUGGAAGCCCCUUCCCCUGCUGCGGGUAAAGGGGGAGGGCACUGCCCUCAGGUUCCCCCCAUGUUCAGCUGCCAAAGAAGGGCGCUCCCCUCCUUCCCCACGCCCAUCCCCCUCUGCUGCCCCUACCCCCACGGUGGGGAGGCGCUCCGUCCACGAGGGGAGGGGCAGCCCUCCCCUCACCAUGUCAGGGAUCUGCGGGGAACCUUGUGGGAGGGUCGCGGGAGGGGGAGGGGGUGGCAGGACAGAAGCAGAGGUCGUGCGCUGGGCCCCUACCGCCCCCCUCCCCCUCCCCCUGGUCGGAUGCCCCCAGUCCGCAGGGGGCCUGCGCCGGCGCCUGUCUAUCAAGGGCUUGUUCAUUCUGGAUGGGGUGCCGCGGGGUUGGGAGGGUGUUGGGG
This 4089-nucleotide long non-coding RNA is filed under the name Heterocephalus glaber (naked mole-rat). RNAcentral's name for it is "lncRNA (ENSHGLG00000045993.1)". The record is from RNAcentral. Lineage: Eukaryota; Metazoa; Chordata; Mammalia; Rodentia; Bathyergidae.